CAGCCGCCGCGGUAAUACGUAGGGUCCGAGCGUUGUCCGGAAUUAUUGGGCGUAAAGAGCUCGUAGGCGGCCUGUCGCGUCUGCUGUGAAAGUCCGGGGCUUAACUCCGGGUGUGCAGUGGAUACGGGCAGGCUUGAGGUAGGUAGGGGAGACUGGAAUUCCUGGUGUAGCGGUGAAAUGCGCAGAUAUCAGGAGGAACACCGGUGGCGAAGGCGGGUCUCUGGGCCUUACCUGACGCUGAGGAGCGAAAGCGUGGGGAGCGAACAGGAUUAGAUACCCUGGUAGUCCACGCCGUAAACGUUGGGCGCUAGGUGUGGGGACUUUCCACGGUUUCCGUGCCGUAGCUAACGCAUUAAGCGCCCCGCCUGGGGAGUACGGCCGCAAGGCUAAAACUCAAAGGAAUUGACGGGGGCCCGCACAAGCGGCGGAGCAUGUUGCUUAAUUCGACGCAACGCGAAGAACCUUACCAAGGCUUGACAUCACCGGUAAUCCUCCAGAGAUGGGGGGUCCUUCGGGGAUCGGUGACAGGUGGUGCAUGGCC
Molecule: ribosomal RNA, 541 nt
Filed under: uncultured archaeon
Lineage: Archaea
Description: bacterial SSU rRNA
Rfam family: Bacterial small subunit ribosomal RNA
Source: RNAcentral